Molecule: long non-coding RNA, 219 nt
Organism: Boleophthalmus pectinirostris (great blue-spotted mudskipper)
Lineage: Eukaryota; Metazoa; Chordata; Actinopteri; Gobiiformes; Gobiidae
Exons: 3
Source: RefSeq, a predicted model, not a curated record
CAGAGCAGAAACAACAUCCCGAGAGGAGUCAUGUGGUGCAGCAAAAGUCAGAUUUUUGUCGGUUUCGCUGCGGCUUUUUGUCUGAUGGGGUUCAUUUACAUUUACACUGGAAGAGACUGGUCCAACUGGUUGCUGAGGGAGCAGGUGCUCUGCUCUGCGGUGGACUCCAAAACACCAGAACUUUACAACCGCUGCAAAGUAGAAGAGCUUCUGAUGAGU